RNAcentral lists this ribosomal RNA (1128 nucleotides) under Leuconostoc mesenteroides. RNAcentral's name for it is "bacterial SSU rRNA". It matches the Rfam family "Bacterial small subunit ribosomal RNA", at positions 74 to 1188 of the family's 1533-position model. The record is from RNAcentral. Lineage: Bacteria; Bacillati; Bacillota; Bacilli; Lactobacillales; Lactobacillaceae.
AGGUGCUUGCACCUUUCAAGUGAGUGGCGAACGGGUGAGUAACACGUGGACAACCUGCCUCAAGGCUGGGGAUAACAUUUGGAAACAGAUGCUAAUACCGAAUAAAACUUAGUGUCGCAUGACACAAAGUUAAAAGGCGCUUCGGCGUCACCUAGAGAUGGAUCCGCGGUGCAUUAGUUAGUUGGUGGGGUAAAGGCCUACCAAGACAAUGAUGCAUAGCCGAGUUGAGAGACUGAUCGGCCACAUUGGGACUGAGACACGGCCCAAACUCCUACGGGAGGCUGCAGUAGGGAAUCUUCCACAAUGGGCGAAAGCCUGAUGGAGCAACGCCGCGUGUGUGAUGAAGGCUUUCGGGUCGUAAAGCACUGUUGUAUGGGAAGAACAGCUAGAAUAGGAAAUGAUUUUAGUUUGACGGUACCAUACCAGAAAGGGACGGCUAAAUACGUGCCAGCAGCCGCGGUAAUACGUAUGUCCCGAGCGUUAUCCGGAUUUAUUGGGCGUAAAGCGAGCGCAGACGGUUUAUUAAGUCUGAUGUGAAAGCCCGGAGCUCAACUCCGGAAUGGCAUUGGAAACUGGUUAACUUGAGUGCAGUAGAGGUAAGUGGAACUCCAUGUGUAGCGGUGGAAUGCGUAGAUAUAUGGAAGAACACCAGUGGCGAAGGCGGCUUACUGGACUGCAACUGACGUUGAGGCUCGAAAGUGUGGGUAGCAAACAGGAUUAGAUACCCUGGUAGUCCACACCGUAAACGAUGAACACUAGGUGUUAGGAGGUUUCCGCCUCUUAGUGCCGAAGCUAACGCAUUAAGUGUUCCGCCUGGGGAGUACGACCGCAAGGUUGAAACUCAAAGGAAUUGACGGGGACCCGCACAAGCGGUGGAGCAUGUGGUUUAAUUCGAAGCAACGCGAAGAACCUUACCAGGUCUUGACAUCCUUUGAAGCUUUUAGAGAUAGAAGUGUUCUCUUCGGAGACAAAGUGACAGGUGGUGCAUGGUCGUCGUCAGCUCGUGUCGUGAGAUGUUGGGUUAAGUCCCGCAACGAGCGCAACCCUUAUUGUUAGUUGCCAGCAUUCAGAUGGGCACUCUAGCGAGACUGCCGGUGACAAACCGGAGGAAGGCGGGGACGACGUCAG